RNAcentral lists this ribosomal RNA (381 nucleotides) under uncultured bacterium. RNAcentral's name for it is "bacterial SSU rRNA". It matches the Rfam family "Bacterial small subunit ribosomal RNA", at positions 28 to 418 of the family's 1533-position model. The record is from RNAcentral.
GACUAACGCUGGCGGCGUGCCUAACACAUGCAAGUCGAACGGGGUAGCAAUACCCAGUGGCAGACGGGUGGGUAACACGUAGAUAACGUGCCCUCUAGUCGGGGAUAGCCACUCGAAAGGGUGGGUAAUACCGGGUGUGAUCGUUUCGGGGCAUCCCGAGACAAUGAAAGCAGCAAUGCGCUAGAGGAGCGGUCUGCGGCCUAUUAGCUUGUUGGUGAGGUAAUGGCUCACCAAGGCGACGAUGGGUAGCCGGUCUGAGAGGAUGAUCGGCCACACUGGCACUGAGAUACGGGCCAGACUCCUACGGGAGGCAGCAGUGAGGAAUUUUGCGCAAUGGGCGAAAGCCUGACGCAGCGACGCCGCGUGAGGGAUGAAGGCCUU